UAUUAAAAUUUUUUAUCUAUUUAUAUUAUUAAAAUUUAAUAUGGUUGAAAAAAUAAUUAAAUAAUGGCACGUGACAUGCCUUAUAAGCCUCAUGCUGACAAUCGGGGACCAAUUUUUAAUAAUGGAAAUUGAUGAAAAUUUUAACA
Molecule: microRNA precursor, 146 nt
Filed under: Gossypium arboreum
Lineage: Eukaryota; Viridiplantae; Streptophyta; Magnoliopsida; Malvales; Malvaceae
Description: MIR7502 microRNA precursor family
Rfam family: MIR7502 microRNA precursor family
Source: Rfam by way of RNAcentral